GCAAGUCGAGGGCGAGCAUAACGAAAGACUUGCUUUGUUGAUGGCGACCGGCGCACGGGUGAGUAACGCGUAUCCAACCUUCCCCACUAGUAGAGGAUAGCCCGGCGAAAGUCGGAUUAAUACUCUAUGUUGUAUUUUGAGGACAUCUGACGAAUACCAAAGAUUGAUCGCUAUGGGAUGGGGAUGCGUCUGAUUAGCUUGUUGGCGGGGUAACGGCCCACCAAGGCGACGAUCAGUAGGGGUUCUGAGAGGAAGGUCCCCCACAUUGGUACUGAGACACGGACCAAACUCCUACGGGAGGCAGCAGUGAGGAAUAUUGGUCAAUGGACGAGAGUCUGAACCAGCCAAGUAGCGUGCAAGGAUGACUGCCCUAUGGGUUGUAAACUGCUUUUAUGCGGGAAUAAAGUCAGGUACGUGUACCUGUUUGUAUGUACCGCAUGAAUAAGGACCGGCUAAUUCCGUGCCAGCCGCAGC
This 474-nucleotide ribosomal RNA is filed under the name uncultured bacterium. RNAcentral's name for it is "bacterial SSU rRNA". It matches the Rfam family "Bacterial small subunit ribosomal RNA", at positions 57 to 518 of the family's 1533-position model. The record is from RNAcentral.